AACGAACGCUGGCGGCAUGCCUAACACAUGCAAGUCGAACGAAGCCUUCGGGCUUAGUGGCGCACGGGUGCGUAACGCGUGGGAAUCUGCCCUUUGGUUCGGAAUAACAGUUGGAAACGACUGCUAAUACCGGAUGAUGACGAAAGUCCAAAGAUUUAUCGCCAGAGGAUGAGCCCGCGUAGGAUUAGCUAGUUGGUGGGGUAAAGGCGCACGAAGGCGACGAUCCUUAGCUGGUCUGAGAGGAUGAUCCGCCACACUGGGACUGAGACACGGCCCAGACUCCUGCGGGAGGCAGCAGUGGGGAAUAUUGGACAAUGGGCGAAAGCCUGAUCCAGCAAUGCCGCGUGAGUGAUGAAGGCCCUAGGGUUGUAAAGCUCUUUUACCCGGGAUGAUAAUGACAGUACCGGGAGAAUAAGCCCCGGCUAGCUCCGUGCCAGCCGCCGCCGUAA
Molecule: ribosomal RNA, 449 nt
Filed under: uncultured bacterium
Lineage: Bacteria
Description: partial 16S ribosomal RNA
Rfam family: Bacterial small subunit ribosomal RNA
Source: RNAcentral